Molecule: non-coding RNA, 87 nt
Filed under: Thermomicrobium roseum
Lineage: Bacteria; Pseudomonadati; Thermomicrobiota; Thermomicrobia; Thermomicrobiales; Thermomicrobiaceae
Also listed under: 1 other name
Description: c-di-GMP sequence
Rfam family: Cyclic di-GMP-II riboswitch aptamer
Source: RNAcentral
CGACACCCCGGAGGCGAAGAAGCGCUGCCUGAGCGUUGGGCGCCAGUGGGCAGCGUGGAGCCAGUGGCGCACCCGGCCGGGAUAUCC